CACGCCAUAAACGAUGACAACUAGAUGUUGGGAGGGUCUGCCUUCCGGUGUCGCAGCUAACGCGUUAAGUUGUCCGCCUGGGGAGNCAACGCGAAGAACCUUACCUGGUCUUGACAUCCCAGGAAUCCUGCAGCGAUGCGGGAGUGCCUUCGGGAACCUGGAGACAGGUGC
Molecule: ribosomal RNA, 171 nt
Filed under: uncultured bacterium
Lineage: Bacteria
Description: partial 16S ribosomal RNA
Rfam family: Bacterial small subunit ribosomal RNA
Source: RNAcentral